UUAAAUUGAAGAGUUUGAUCAUGGCUCAGAUUGAACGCUGGCGGCAGGCCUAACACAUGCAAGUCGAGCGGUAGCACAGAGAGCUUGCUCUCGGGUGACGAGCGGCGGACGGGUGAGUAAUGUCUGGG
This 128-nucleotide ribosomal RNA is filed under the name Klebsiella pneumoniae. RNAcentral describes it as "partial 16S ribosomal RNA". It matches the Rfam family "Bacterial small subunit ribosomal RNA", at positions 1 to 121 of the family's 1533-position model. Lineage: Bacteria; Pseudomonadati; Pseudomonadota; Gammaproteobacteria; Enterobacterales; Enterobacteriaceae. RNAcentral also lists the same sequence under 2 other names. The record is from RNAcentral.